GUUUAACAAGAAAAUUAUUUGAAUGUGGAUGUGUGAAUUUGUGCUUUGAAAAUUUAUUUUGUAUGAGUAUUUGAUGAACAUAACAAGUUGAACAAUUAGAAUUCAUGUUAUGAAGGUUUAAUCAUUUGAAAUCUAAUUUGUUUUCAUUUUUCAGGUACUAUGAAAUUUUGUCAAAUUUGGGCAGCAGAUUUCACAACCUGCGACAUAACCGAUUUUGGUUGUGUCGU
RNAcentral lists this unclassified non-coding RNA (227 nucleotides) under Hevea brasiliensis (rubber tree). Lineage: Eukaryota; Viridiplantae; Streptophyta; Magnoliopsida; Malpighiales; Euphorbiaceae. The record is from RNAcentral.